AUUCCCUUUACAGGGCAGAUGAUGAAUAAUACGCCCCCGGUUUGCACACCGGGAAUCCAGGAGAGUUCAUGUAC
This is a regulatory RNA element of Shimwellia blattae, 74 nucleotides long. It matches the Rfam family "PyrD leader". Lineage: Bacteria; Pseudomonadati; Pseudomonadota; Gammaproteobacteria; Enterobacterales; Enterobacteriaceae. The record is from Rfam.